UGGGCUGUGUCUUCUCCUUAAAACAUUCAGUGGUGGAGGCAGCUGGGGACUGAUGGAGCCACAGAGUUGUGCUUUCUUUUCUUAGCUUCAGUGGCUGGAAGAUAAGAUGGUGAGGAGGUAAAUUUUAUGCCUAGAACUCGGAGCACUUGCCAUUAUCCUUGCUAUACAGGUAGAAAUGGGGACACAUGGACAGGCAUGCUUAUGUAGAUUGAUGUUAUUUAUUAAGUCAGUGGCAAACCAGCAAAAACUCUCCUAACUCCCAAGACCAAGUGGUAUUAAACCUGGUGGCUUGCAAGGGCUUCUGCUGGGUUUAUGAAAAAUAGAUAUAUAAUUGAGCUAGGAGAUGACAUGCUUAAAAAGAAAAAAGUGACCUUUUUUUCCCCAUACCCUUGCGAUUGCUCCAGAGCUCGCUAGUUAUAGCUGCUAUUUCAGUGUCCCCCAAAUUAGUCUUUCAGGUUGCAUGAGCUCCCCAGGCUGUUCUGUGGUCAGGCUGCUUUAAAUGAGCUUUUCUUCUCUGUGUGCCAUAGCGUCAAACUCCUGACCUUGAGAGCCUGGCAGCACCAGAUGUCUGGGCUUCAGAGCACCGCUAGCGCCGGAGGAACAUGCGACUGGCCAGCUGGAGGUGGAAGCCGUGGGGAGGAAGGAGUGCCGUGCCAGCACCAGCCGCCAAACUCUCCUGGGAGGCUGCACCCAGCAUUGCUCCAGCGCUGCGCCACGUCCUCUGGCCUGGAGCUGACCCUGUAGUCAUUCCUUUAAACCCAUCCCUUGGUGCCAGCUGUCUGCUAAGGACGCAUCUCUCCCACUCUCAUUACCAGGCACCCCAGCCCCUACGGCCACGAGCUUGGCCCAAGCAGGUGGAAGCGGGUCUGGAGGGCUCGGGGUGCUCUGCUCUGCUCUGGUCCUGGAGCAGUUCAGUUUGGGAGGCUGCACUUCAUUAGAGCUGUGAAACGGAACAAUUAGCUGAGGCUGACAAUUUCCUACAGCCUCAGCUGAGUGUAACGGGCGUUUUCUAAUCUCUCUAUUUAUCUUACUGUUAAUCUGGCUAUCAAAUAAAACAAUUUUCCAAA
Cygnus olor (mute swan) is the source of this 1067-nucleotide long non-coding RNA. RefSeq lists it as uncharacterized. The record is from RefSeq and is a predicted model, not a curated record. The transcript has 2 exons. NCBI's taxonomy places the organism in Eukaryota, Metazoa, Chordata, Aves, Anseriformes, Anatidae.